AGCUUUCCCGUAUAACUUUCCUAUUGACCAAUGGAGGCUCCAUCUUCAGGCCGCCACCACGUCUGCCUACGGAUGCCCUCGAUCCUUCUGGUCGACCAACCUCCUCCUCUCCUCCCCUACAUGACUCCACCGCCAUGAAAUCUUCUUGGAUUUAGCUCACAAGAUCAUCCAUACAUGAUCUUGCUGUAGCCGCUCCUUCCAUACAUGAUUAGCUGCACCGCCUGGGCGACCGACACGAUCCAGCGGACAUGGAGAUCCGUGGAGAAAAAGAUGCUACGAUUAUGAUGGCAGUGAUUUCCCAUGGAUGAACGACCGGUUUGAUCUAGCGGAUAUGAAGAUCCAGACAUAGCAACAUGUAUGUUUGGCCCGCAGCGGGAAGUUUCUUGAUUCUUUACACCAUCAGGUCUGCAGCCGCUCAGCGUCAGAUAAACAGAUAUUGCACACGCGCAUGUGAUCGAGCAAGGCACAGCUUCAACUUAAUUAGAUCUACGAGAAUCUAUGUGGAGCACCUAGCGUGUUUUUCUUGGUGUGACGUGCAUGGACAUGUUGCUGAAGGAGAACAAAAGGGAAAGCACACGUGGGCAAGUGAGCAGCUCAGUGUCGACAGUCUGCCUUGGUCUUUCCACAUCCUAGAGAAAACGGUUUUGGCAUGUCGCCAAUGACAGUCCUCAAGUUCAUUCUACUGGCUGCAACCUUCUCCUCGACAAUGGACAGGUAACGGCAGGUUGAUGCUUGCCUAGCCACAACUGGUACUGUGAACAAUGGCUCGAAUACGAUUUACCCUUAACCAUCACAUGUCCAUAUAUUCAUAGAUGAUUACUUAUUUUUGUAUAUGUUGACACCUGCAAGAUGAUAUUAAGUUCAACACAUGCAAACUGCUAAUGUUCAGUAUUAGUAGCAGGGCAGCAAAGUUCUUCUGGCAUCGAGACUACAGAAAUGAACCAAACGUCGAGGCCAGAUGCAGCGGCUUAUAGUUUUCAUUGUUUUUGAUUAUGUAAUGUGACAAAAUAUUCAAAAUGCUAUUGUCCGCCAAUAUAUUGCUGUAUGGAAAACUGCUAAACUUUUCAAUUCAGCUCUCUUAUCUUGAGUUUGCAAAGUCAAGUUUGUAUUUUUUUUAUAUACACAGGAUUAUGAAUAUUCAAAAUUUCCAGUGAAUGGUGUUAUGUCUCAGGGAAGGGAUGGAUAACUUCAAGGACAAGUUUGCUGAAAAAUUCCAAACUAAUUACCAAGAUAACAGACUUAACUUACCGGAGAGCAACUACACAUGCAUUGGUAUCAACAAUGUGGCAGCUAAGAAGUCAGAACGGAUGUGACGAGUGUCUAGAUUUCUUCUCGUGCACUAGCAUUGACUAUGCCCCCGCAGUCGAUAAAGGACAUGCAGGAAGCCGGGAACACACACAGUAAGGGAAACUGUGAGGGCACAUGUGACCUGCAUCACCAUCGGAGCUUGGGGCGGGGAACCGUAUAUAAUGUCAUUGUUCACUACCUUCAGAAAGGUCGUGCAGAUGUUAUAGGAGAAAGCAUGGAGCAUUUUUAGCUCCACCACCAUCAACUUGUAUUAGUGCAGACAACUAUACUGUUCUUGGCGGCAAGUUCCAUAGGAAGAAUCGUGAAGGAGGCAGUUGGAGCCUCGAAGUACAACAACAAACUACCAGGGGUGACAACCCAGGACGUACUCCUCUUUAUUGGAAACACCGUGAGUUGUAUCGGGGAGAAAAGGCAGAAAAGAAAUAAAGAGGAAAAAUAUAUUACACAACAGCCCUUGGCUAAAAAGUUUGUACACGUGUGUUCGUAUGACUUUGAUGAGAUCGUUGGUGUGGGCGAAUUCCAACACUCUUGGACGCUUGCUAUCCGUGGCUCCGUGCGCAAGGAAGUUGACUAGGUUGUACUUAUACAUGGCUACACGAGAAAGAUUGGUGACGCAAUCCUAUUUGCAGAAAACAUACAUGUCUUAUAUGUGUUAUUUCCCUAUUAUGCAGCAAUCGUCAAGUAUAUCCAGAUUUGAUUGGAAAAGUAUAUCAUGGUACUUGGAGGUUAAGUAUGUUAUUACAAUCAUUGAUUCUUCCCAUUAUUUCGUUGUAUAGAUCAUCGUGAUUAAAAGCACUUAUUGAUAUUUUUCCCUUAAGCAAAACUGUAACCAAAUCUUUUAUUUUCCAGGGGAAUUAUAACUGAGUCUCUAUAUACAUGCCUGUCGACAAAGAGAUGCCCUUAGAAAAGGACUUAAAUCCUUUUUUUUGCUUCUAAUUACAAUUGUUAGAGGAUCUUAAUUAAUUGCAAUCUGGCAAUGCAUAUAGUUUCAUAUCCUUAGCACAGGAGGAUGUCACUUCUUACAAGAUAGGAAAAAACAAUGCCUAAAGAAAGUU
Triticum aestivum (bread wheat) is the source of this 2363-nucleotide long non-coding RNA. RefSeq lists it as uncharacterized. The record is from RefSeq and is a predicted model, not a curated record. The transcript is spliced from 4 exons. Lineage: Eukaryota; Viridiplantae; Streptophyta; Magnoliopsida; Poales; Poaceae.